RNAcentral lists this ribosomal RNA (300 nucleotides) under uncultured bacterium. RNAcentral's name for it is "bacterial SSU rRNA". It matches the Rfam family "Bacterial small subunit ribosomal RNA", at positions 28 to 334 of the family's 1533-position model. The record is from RNAcentral.
GAUGAACGCUGGCGGCGUGCAUAACACAUUCAAGUCGAACGGUGAACCCUUCGGGGGAUCAGUGGCGGACGGGUGAGUAACGCGUGAGCAACCUGCCUUACAGUACGGGAUAACGUCCGGAAACAGACGCUAAUACCGUAUGAUGCAAUCGGGACGCAUGUUCUGAUUGCCAAAGAUUUAUUGCUGUAAGAUGGGCUCGCGUCUGAUUAGGUAGUUGGCGGGGGAACGGCCCACCAAGCCUACGAUCAGUAGCCGGACUGAGAGGUUGAACGGCCACAUUGGAACUGAGAAACGGUCCAG